Rana temporaria (common frog) is the source of this 3497-nucleotide long non-coding RNA. RefSeq lists it as uncharacterized. The transcript is spliced from 3 exons. The record is from RefSeq and is a predicted model, not a curated record. NCBI's taxonomy places the organism in Eukaryota, Metazoa, Chordata, Amphibia, Anura, Ranidae.
UCUCCUUGGACAACCCACGUGCCGUUGGUGAGCCACUCCCCACCCUAGUGAGUAUUUAUACUCCUUCCAGUGCAGCGGUUCUCCUUACGGCGGUGUGUCCUGUGGUCCUGGUCGUUCCUUAGCACUAUCCUACUCACCUUCAGGUAUACAAUUAGACCUUUAUACCCUAUUUUACCCACUACUCAUCCUUUCCUUACAUUUUGUCCCUCUGUCAUAACUGGGUUCUGUUUUUGGCAUACCACCCCAUUGUUUGGGGUCCACUCACAGCCCUUCCUUUAUGGUUAUUACCACAUUUGGGACACAGUGCACCUUAUGUACACUUCACGGUCACAACCCUACUAUCCCUUGCCCUACACCUUUAGACAAUUUUUCAUGUUUAAUAUAUAUAUUUUAUAUAUUUUUUAUUUAUCAUCUUUUCAUAUUUUUGUAUUACAACUGUUCACGAUAUAGCUAUUAUCAGCUUCUACAAUUUUUAAUUUUCACAGAUCAUCAUACUUAUGUUAAGGCACAUUAACUUCCAUGUAUCCAUGAGGCCGCCGUCUUGGACAUCUAGCUUUAUACUGGAUCAUUUUCCAUCCUUGUGGUGGGGUUGGCCCACCUCAGCUCCCGUGGGCUGUUACCUUCCCGGCUACGUUUCUGCCCUCCUAGUCUGUACCUUCGGUUUUGACAUACCCACAUCUACCUCAUACUCUGCUCCUGAGGAGUGGCACUAGCCACGAAACGCGUUGAGCCAAUAGACGCCCCCCCUCUCAUUCGUUGCCAUUACACCUUUACCAACGUUGUACAGAUCGAUUGUAUUUUAUAUACUUCUCAACUAUGGGUGUUAUUACUAUGGAGGAGCCACCAGAUGCCCCCCCCCCCAUGCCCGUUGCUAAUGUACUAAUUAUUAUCAUACACAUCGUCUAUAUGAUCGAUUGUGGUCACUAUUACUGUGGAGUUAUUCCAACGAAUUUGAUCUCAUUUAAUGUUUAUACUAUGCAUUAACUUUUACUGUUAGGAGCCAUUAGAAGCCCCUCUGGUUUAUAUAUGAUAUCUUUUACCAACUAAUUUCCUCUCUACACCAGUGGAGUGUACCAACGUAUCAAUAUUCAUUUAUCAUGGAGAUACUUUCCAGUGAUUUGGCCUCUUUUGAUAUCGUUUCCAGCAUGAACCUAUUAUAUUUAUUUAUUCCUACCAUUGUUACCAUGAACUGUUGAAAUGUAUGCAAUUUUCUUUGAUUAUUGUAACAGAUCUACCAUGCUACUAUUGUAUCUACUGUAUAUAUAAUUUUUAUACUAUUAAAUAACCGACUGUUUUUUGUAUCCGUGCAAUGCUUUCAUGUUAUUUGCUUGGUUCUGCUGGAUCACGUACCUGUCCAAAUCCCACUGUUAUUGUUACUCUCCUGGGGUGCAUGCCUCAUUUAAAGUCCCACCCUAUUCCUUAUUGUUCAAAAUAUCGGGGAUGGAAGUGCUUGGCUCUAUGCCUUGCGCCUCAUUUAAAGUCCCACCCAUUUAGUUUCUUGCAUUUACAUGUUUCCGGGGAUGGAUACAUGCACCCUUACAAUCAUACACUAUAUAUGUUGGUACUCUCCCUCCUUUAGGUUACUUAGCUGUCUGUUCAUUUCAAACUGUAUGAUCAUUAUAUGUUUAAAUCUUGUAUUAUACCAGUGUUGGCCUCCAGGGGUUUCAGCUUCAUAGUACCCCUCACAUCGUUACCCACGAUGUGAUUUUCGGAUGUGUUGCUGCCUUACAAUGGGCCAGCUUGUGGCUGGGCAGACUGUACCAGCCGGCUCUAUCAGUCCCGGGAGCUGCGAUGCGCUCUUGGGCCCCGCCCUUCCCCAUCCCUCCCACUGCCUUGGGGGUGUGGCUGGGGUCGGGCGGACGUCCGAUUGCGCAUCGACGGCACGCUUCCUACGCCAUGUCUGCUGCGGCACCACGUGUGACGUCAGCGGACUGACGUUGCUGAUUCCCAUCUGGAAGUCCCUGCGAGGCAGCUAGUGUGGGGCGGCGGGAUCACCCGCUCCCCCUCGCUCACACGCCGCCUCCUCUCCUUGGACAACCCACGUGCCGUUGGUGAGCCACUCCCCACCCUAGUGAGUAUUUAUACUCCUUCCAGUGCAGCGGUUCUCCUUACGGCGGUGUGUCCUGUGGUCCUGGUCGUUCCUUAGCACUAUCCUACUCACCUUCAGGUAUACAAUUAGACCUUUAUACCCUAUUUUACCCACUACUCAUCCUUUCCUUACAUUUUGUCCCUCUGUCAUAACUGGGUUCUGUUUUUGGCAUACCACCCCAUUGUUUGGGGUCCACUCACAGCCCUUCCUUUAUGGUUAUUACCACAUUUGGGACACAGUGCACCUUAUGUACACUUCACGGUCACAACCCUACUAUCCCUUGCCCUACACCUUUAGACAAUUUUUCAUGUUUAAUAUAUAUAUUUUAUAUAUUUUUUAUUUAUCAUCUUUUCAUAUUUUUGUAUUACAACUGUUCACGAUAUAGCUAUUAUCAGCUUCUACAAUUUUUAAUUUUCACAGAUCAUCAUACUUAUGUUAAGGCACAUUAACUUCCAUGUAUCCAUGAGGCCGCCAUCUUGGACAUCUAGCUUCAUACUGGAUCAUUUUCCAUCCUUGUGGUGGGGUUGGCCCACCUCAGCUCCCGUGGGCUGUUACCUUCCCGGCUACGUUUCUGCCCUCCUAGUCUGUACCUUCGGUUUUGACAUACCCACAUCUACCUCAUACUCUGCUCCUGAGGAGUGGCACUAGCCACGAAACGCGUUGAGCCAAUAGACGCCCCCCCUCUCAUUCGUUGCCAUUACACCUUUACCAACGUUCUACAGAUCGAUUGUAUUUUAUAUACUUCUCAACUAUGGGUGUUAUUACUAUGGAGGAGCCACCAGAUGCCCCCCCCCCCAUGCCCGUUGCUAAUGUACUAAUUAUUAUCAUACACAUCGUCUAUAUGAUCGAUUGUGGUCACUAUUACUGUGGAGUUAUUCCAACGAAUUUGAUCUCAUUUAAUGUUUAUACUAUGCAUUAACUUUUACUGUUAGGAGCCAUUAGAAGCCCCUCUGGUUUAUAUAUGAUAUCUUUUACCAACUAAUUUCCUCUCUACACCAGUGGAGUGUACCAACGUAUCAAUAUUCAUUUAUCAUGGAGAUACUUUCCAGUGAUUUGGCCUCUUUUGAUAUCGUUUCCAGCAUGAACCUAUUAUAUUUAUUUAUUCCUACCAUUGUUACCAUGAACUGUUGAAAUGUAUGCAAUUUUAUUUGAUUAUUGUAACAGAUCUACCAUGCUACUAUUGUAUCUACUGUAUAUAUAAUUUUUAUACUAUUAAAUAACCGACUGUUUUUUGUAUCCGUGCAAUGCUUUCAUGUUAUUUGCUUGGUUCUGCUGGAUCACGUACCUGUCCAAAUCCCACUGUUAUUGUUACUCUCCUGGGGUGCAUGCCUCAUUUAAAGUCCCACCCUAUUCCUUAUUGUUCAAAAUAUCGGGGAUGGAAGUGCUUGGCUCUAUGCCUUGCGCCUCA